GGUUGACGAAGAUGAGGCCGGUGAAGAGCAGCACCACCAUGGAGAGGAAGGAGAAGACGACGCACACGCAGCCGGCGGUUGGUCCUCACUCUACGAAGAGGAAACCUCCCCAGCCCCAACAGGGAAAGGAAGGGAAGAGCUCUGUGCGUUCCCAUGAGAUGAGAACAUUCCCACUUUCCCUCUGGAGUCUCUGCAGCAGAAAGCAAGAUACCCCAGGGGAUAUUUGUGGAAAGGAUGAAUGAAUGAGAAUCAAGCUGAAGGAAGAGAGAAGCUGAAGGCAAGGAAGCUACCAACAAACCACCAGUGUACAGACCAAAGAUGGAAUUGUCAUAAAUGUCAUGUUUCCAUGACACUUGAAAAUAAAUAGACCUUUUACUCUAUGUGAAUAGUGAAUGUGAUUGACAUGGUAAGUUUGAGAGACCUUAGUUGAGGCUCAUUAAAAACCAUGAGCUUUCCA
Odocoileus virginianus texanus is the source of this 457-nucleotide non-coding RNA. Lineage: Eukaryota; Metazoa; Chordata; Mammalia; Artiodactyla; Cervidae. The record is from RefSeq and is a predicted model, not a curated record.